This 386-nucleotide ribosomal RNA is filed under the name uncultured bacterium. Its description in RNAcentral is "bacterial SSU rRNA". It matches the Rfam family "Bacterial small subunit ribosomal RNA", at positions 132 to 507 of the family's 1533-position model. The record is from RNAcentral.
UCUAGCAGGGAAACAUUUGGAAACAAAUGCUAAAUACCGUAUAAUAAUUAAAACCGCAUGGUUUUAGUUAAAAGAUGGUCUUGCUAUCACUAAGAGAUGGUCCCGCGGUGUAUUAGUUAGUUGGUGAGGUAGUGGCUCACCAAGACAAUGAUACAUAGCCGAGUUGAGAGACUGACCGGCCACAAUGGGACUGAGACACGGCCCAUACUCCUACGGGAGGCAGCAGUAGGGAAUCUUCCACAAUGGACGAAAGUCUGAUGGAGCAACGCCGCGUGUGUGAUGAAGGGUUUCGGCUCGUAAAACACUGUUGUAAGAGAAGAAUGACAUUGAGAGUAACUGUUCAAUGUGUGACGGUAUCUUACCAGAAAGGAACGGCUAAAUACGUG